UGGGGAAUAUUGGGCAAUGGAGGAAACUCUUACCCAGCAAUGCCGCGUGAAUGAAGAAGGUCUUCGGAUUGUAAAGUUCUUUAAUUGGGGACGAAAAAAAUGACGGUACCCAAGGAAUAAGCCCCGGCUAACUACGUGCCAGCAGCCGCGGUAAUACGUAGGGGGCAAGCGUUGUUCGGAAUGACUGGGCGUAAAGGGUGCGUAGGCGGUGUAGCAAGUUAGAAGUGAAAUACCUAGAGCUUAACUCAGGUGCUGCUUCUAAAACUGCUAUACUUGAGUGCAGUAGAGGAAAGUGGAAUUCCU
RNAcentral lists this ribosomal RNA (303 nucleotides) under uncultured bacterium. Its description in RNAcentral is "bacterial SSU rRNA". It matches the Rfam family "Bacterial small subunit ribosomal RNA", at positions 355 to 671 of the family's 1533-position model. The record is from RNAcentral.